CAGCAGCCGCGGUAAUACGUAGGUGGCAAGCGUUGUCCGGAAUUAUUGGGCGUAAAGGGCUCGCAGGCGGUUUCUUAAGUCUGAUGUGAAAGCCCCCGGCUCAACCGGGGAGGGUCAUUGGAAACUGGGAAACUUGAGUGCAGAAGAGGAGAAUGGAAUUCCACGUGUAGCGGUGAAAUGCGUAGAGAUGUGGAGGAACACCAGUGGCGAAGGCGACUCUCUGGUCUGUAACUGACGCUGAGGAGCGAAAGCGUGGGGAGCGAACAGGAUUAGAUACCCCAGUAGUCCCUGUCUCUUAUAA
Molecule: ribosomal RNA, 301 nt
Filed under: uncultured bacterium
Lineage: Bacteria
Description: partial 16S ribosomal RNA
Rfam family: Bacterial small subunit ribosomal RNA
Source: RNAcentral